UACGUAGGUGGCAAGCGUUGUCCGGAUUUACUGGGCGUAAAGGAUGCGUAGGCGGACAUUUAAGUCAGAUGUGAAAUACCCGAGCUUAACUUGGGUGCUGCAUUUGAAACUGGGUGUCUAGAGUGCAGGAGAGGUAAGUGGAAUUCCGUAGUGUAGCGGUGAAAUGCGUAGAGAUUAGGAAGAACACCAGUGGCGAAGGCGACUUACUGGACUGUAACUGACGCUGAGGCAUGAAAGCGUGGGGAGCAAACAGG
This 254-nucleotide ribosomal RNA is filed under the name uncultured bacterium. Its description in RNAcentral is "partial 16S ribosomal RNA". It matches the Rfam family "Bacterial small subunit ribosomal RNA", at positions 524 to 776 of the family's 1533-position model. The record is from RNAcentral.